GCUGUGGCUCAGUGGAAGAGCAUCUGCUUUGCAUUAAAAAGUCCCAGGUUCGAUCCCCAGCAGGGACA
Molecule: non-coding RNA, 68 nt
Organism: Podarcis lilfordi (Lilford's wall lizard)
Lineage: Eukaryota; Metazoa; Chordata; Lepidosauria; Squamata; Lacertidae
Source: the annotation of a GenBank genome assembly